RNAcentral lists this long non-coding RNA (246 nucleotides) under Capsella rubella. RNAcentral's name for it is "long non-coding RNA (CRUB_LNC001733)". Lineage: Eukaryota; Viridiplantae; Streptophyta; Magnoliopsida; Brassicales; Brassicaceae. The record is from RNAcentral.
AGAUAUAUAAAAUAUUAUACACAUGCAAAGGUAAUUUGUGUAUAUAUUUAUAAGUUUACAUACGUAUUUGGAUAAAUUUCAACAUUUUUUUUUGUUUUUUUAUAAAGUUUUAAAAGAGGAUAUUUUAAAAAGAGGUAUAUGAAAAGGGGUAUUUUUGAAAUUCUCUCAUAAACCAACUACGAAAAUGACCAACCAAACAAAUAUAUUAAUUUAUGGACAUGUGGUGUACCACGGGAUAAAUCCUAG